GACGAACGCUGGCGGCGUGCUUAACACAUGCAAGUCGAACGGAAAGGCCCUGCUUUUGUGGGGUGCUCGAGUGGCGAACGGGUGAGUAACAUGUGAGUAACCUGCCCUUGACUUUGGGAUAACUUCAGGAAACUGGGGCUAAUACCGGAUAGGAGCUCCUGCUGCAUGGUGGGGGUUGGACCGUUUCGGCGGUUGGGGAUGGACUCGCGGCUUAUCAGCUUGUUGGUGGGGUAGUGGCUUACCAAGGCUUUGACGGGUAGCCGGCCUGAGAGGGUGACCGGCCACAUUGGGACUGAGAUACGGCCCAGACUCCUACGGGAGGCAGCAGUGGGGAAUAUUGCACAAUGGGCGGAAGCCUGAUGCAGCAACGCCGCGUGCGGGAUGACGGCCUUCGGGUUGUAAACCGCUUUCGCCUGUGACGAAGCGUGAGUGACGGUAAUGGGUAAAGAAGCACCGGCUAACUACGUG
Molecule: ribosomal RNA, 468 nt
Filed under: uncultured bacterium
Lineage: Bacteria
Description: partial 16S ribosomal RNA
Rfam family: Bacterial small subunit ribosomal RNA
Source: RNAcentral